Molecule: long non-coding RNA, 985 nt
Filed under: Homo sapiens (human)
Lineage: Eukaryota; Metazoa; Chordata; Mammalia; Primates; Hominidae
Description: HSALNT0119144
Source: RNAcentral
UAACACCAAUACACCUGGUACAUCUAGAUGCGUGUGAAAACAUUUUUUGAAUGAAUGAAUACACUUGAGGAUGAUGCAAAUGAUGUCAGCUGUCUAUCUAGGAAAAAAAGUUUUAAAAUCUCACCACGGAAGUCAUUUUGCCCCUGCAUUCUAAACUGAUGAACUUUGCCAAAAGUAGAGAUCUAUGGGUAAAUAAUAUAAGUGUAACCACCUUGAACAAUGCCCCAGAUGGAUGCAGAACACAAGUAACUCUCAACUGUAGUUGUCUCCAAAAUACACCAUCAUUCGCUGCCACAAGAGUGUUGCUGGACACUACUUCCCAUCUCUGUAUUUGAAGAACAUUUGCAUUGCAUCUUUUCUGCCCUAGUCCAACAAACGUCAACUUGACAGAAAAAAAAAAAUUCUCAUCACAAGACAAUUUAGAAAGUGUUCAUUGCAAAUGAACCAUUUAUUUCUAGAAAACGACACUUCAAUGUCCCCAAAAACACAAGAACACCAUCUUUGUGUUUUAUUUUUUGUAAAAGAUCUUUGACGCCUAUUCCCCAAUCCCCAUUCGCUUUCCCUUCCAGAACCAUGCUACUGUAUUUGAUAUCAUUGAAUUUCUAUGAAUUCUUAUAGAAUAUGUAGCAUUUUGUAUUUUAGUGUAAAGUGCACUGAUUUAUAACCUAAUAAUCAAUGAAGCUUAUUGAUUCAUACAGAUUGUUAUUCAUUGUUACUUUUAAGCUCUCAACAGUGUUCUUAUAAUAUAUGCGUGUUAUUUUGUCUACAUGUCAUUUGUUGCUUUUAAUUACUCCAGAAUACUCCAGAGUAUGUGCCUACUGCAUUUUUACCUAACCACUCAAUGCUUGCCAUAUACAAAAAUAUUAACAUCCAAUAGUUAACCUCAUAUUCCAUCAACCUGAUCUAAAGUCACAGUGAUUCUGGUUAAUUCAGCAAGGGAACUUUUUCCCUCCAAUCUUUUAUGUAAGAGUUUUCCACCUGAAUU